CACUUUGAUUGUUAGGAAUUAAGCCCCAAGUCCAGUUAAGAGCCUAAAUUAAUCCAGCCAAGUAGUUCCGUUCUAAAACUGGAAAAUUGGAUACUACAAAUUGGUUAGAAUUGCAAUAAUAGUUUUCGAGAUAUGUAUCAGUGUGUGUAAUAUACACAGUUGCUCCUAAAACGGAAAAUAAAAAGGUCGAGGUUCGGCUGAAGGGUGGACCACCGCCGUAGACCAAUCCCAGCCACCGUAGAGUACAGGUUUAGUCUGUUGAUGGGACCCAAUAGCAGCAGCUGCUCUGCCAAGCCAGCUAUUAUAUACAUAAUUAUGAACCUAACAACCAACCAUUUAACCCUUGGGGGAAUAGGGAUUAAUCUGGCGAACCAACACUUCAGGGCCGGUUACUUAGUAGCUGCAGAGAACCAUCAAAUGACACUUUCAAUGGCCCCAACAACAGAAUAAACCCAUUUCCCCAACUGCUCCAGGGUGGAAGAGAACCGUUAACGAUGCUCAGCGGUGGCGCCACAUAUCAAGCCUUCCAUUGCCUUGAUGCCCCCACUCGGGUUACAGGCAUUCGUUACCGUGCCCGGCAACAGUAUCUUUCAGCCUUGGUUAUAUAAAGGGGGAAAUAUUUUUGAAGAUUCUCGAUGUGGGACAACGCAGUUUUGCAGAAAAUUCUACGCUCCGGUCUCAUGAAGGCAAUGUUGCAUCUCAGGUACCUUGAAUCCUCGCCCUCUCUAUGUUCUCUCUCUAAAGCAUGGAUUUUUGGAGGUUUAGGAUCUGAGAAGGGGAUUUUCGGGUAACAAAAUGGGCUUGACAACCAUAAAAAAAACCGGGUCGAGUUAUGGCCCAUAAUGUUAACUCGUCUAUAAUUGCGGUGAUUUAAGCACUUCUGCUGCGAGUAUUUUAAAUUUACAAGGAUAAUCUCUUAUUCACCUUCUGGUUUUUAUAAAUGAAUCACUUUGGGUUUUAAAAAGCUCUAUUAAUCAAAUAAAACACUCUUAGAAAAUUAUCCAAAUAAAUCAAAAUUCAACUACUUAGUCCCAGUUUCGUAGGAACUAAAAUCUAUAUAUUAAUCUAAAUCAAAGUCAACAAAUAAUUUUAAUUAUAUAUUUCAUAAACUUUUAUCAAAAUUUAUUAAUAUCUAACUUUAAUUCUUACCAAAUAGGGGCUAGUUUCAAAAUUCAUACCAAACAAGCUCUCAAUUUGUUUCAUCUCUUAAAGGCUUAGAUCAAUAUAGACAUUGCCAAUUUAGGAAAAUAGGCUUUUGGAAAAAUGGAAUUUGAUUAACUCAUAAUAUAUGAAAGUAUAUCAGUAUCAUCAUGAACGAAUGAGAAUAUUUAACUUAAAAAAUAAAUAAUUUGAGGAAUCUGAAUAUUUAAUUGUAGCUGAGCUUGAUGGAACUUGUACUAAUGUGCUUAAUGACAAAUAAGAAAAAACUAUUUGUCUAACAAAGCGUCCAAUACAAUCAACAAAAAUGCUACAGGUACAACAUAUUUGACAGUAUGGUUGACAACCCUCUCACAUAUAAGGGGUGGGGAAUAAAGAGUUUUGUUCCUUGAACAUCCAAAAAUCUCUCCUCCAACUAGCUGCUUUGCUCUAAUUACAGCGACCUUCCCUGUAUUUUAAAGUCAAAAACAUGCAGAUUCAUGAAUGACAGCUCCUGGCUCAUUUCUCCCUUCGUUGCAGGUAAUUUCUUUGAUUCUUGAUGCUCAAUAGUAUUCUCUGAUCCUCCUCUGAAGUGGUAUUAGUUUAUACAGAACUAGAAAAUAUUUAGGACUGCAAUAUUGUAUCACGAUUUUCUACUAAAAAACAGCUUAAUCGCCAGCAUACUAUAAUCCGAAAAUUUCUAGAAGAUAUUUCCCUCAAGCAAAAGGUUCAUUUGUAAAGCAAAGCUUAAUAUAUGAAUGCUAUCGCCAUUGGUUGUAUUUUCUUUUACUACUCUUCUCUGGAGGAAGUGCUGUGAACUAGAUGAUCCUUCGAACUUGGGCAACAUUGGCGUGGAACCUCUCAGCAAUUUGACGAAUAUCCAUAGGCCCAUCAUGAUCAUCAACCUAGCCUUGGUGCUGCAGGAUGAUUUGGCGUAUUUGUGCGACAUUUUGGGUUCUGGGAGGAGCAGGUCUUUCCUCGUAUCUGCUGUAAUCAGGUGUCGUAUUCCUUAGUUUAGGCAGAGACCUUUUGUACUUCUCCAACAAAGAGGCCUGUCAAAAUAGUUUGGGGUCAAUAACAUAUUCGCUUGAUAAAGCCAAAAAUAGCCGAAGGACUCAAUCUUUCAAAUUCACUAUCGGCCUCUUAAUGAACAGUAUGAAAUGGCAAAAAGUAUUUGUAUAGCCAGAGACGAAUCCAGAAUGUUGAACUAGUACGGACAGCCG
This 2360-nucleotide long non-coding RNA is filed under the name Olea europaea subsp. europaea. Lineage: Eukaryota; Viridiplantae; Streptophyta; Magnoliopsida; Lamiales; Oleaceae. The record is from RNAcentral.